This 892-nucleotide ribosomal RNA is filed under the name uncultured Planctomycetota bacterium. RNAcentral describes it as "bacterial SSU rRNA". It matches the Rfam family "Bacterial small subunit ribosomal RNA", at positions 8 to 929 of the family's 1533-position model. Lineage: Bacteria; Pseudomonadati; Planctomycetota. The record is from RNAcentral.
AGAGUUUGAUCCUGGCUCAGCGCGAACGCUGGCGGCAUGGCUAAAACAUGCAAGUCGAACGCGAACGCACCUUCGGGUGCUAGUAGAGUGGCGAAAGGGCGAGUAAUGCGUUUCUACGUACCCCCUGGUCAGGGAUAGCCCAUCGAAAGGUGGAUUAAUACCUGAUGUGGUCCUUCGGGAUCAAAGGCUUGCCGCCAGGGGAGCGGGGAACGUCCUAUCAGGUUGUUGGUGAGGUAAAGGCUCACCAAGCCUUAGACGGGUAGCGGGUGUGAGAGCAUGACCCGCCGCAUCGGGACUGAGACACUGCCCGGACUCCUACGGGAGGCUGCAGUAACGAAUCUUCCGCAAUGCGCGAAAGCGUGACGGAGCAAUGCCGCGUGCAGGAUGAAGCUUCUCGGAGUGUAAACUGCUGUCAGGGUUUAGCAAACAAAUGAGCAGACCCAAAGGAAGGGCCGGCUAACUUCGUGCCAGCAGCCGCGGUAACACGAAGGGCCCGAGCGUUGCGCGGAAUCAUUGGGCUUAAAGCGUACGUAGGCGGGCGCGCAGGCGUUUUGUGAAAGCCCUCGGCUCAACCGAGGAACUGCUUGACGAACCGCGUGUCUUGAAGCAAGUAGGGGCUGUCGGAACGAUAGGUGGAGUGGUGAAAUGCGUUGAUAUCUAUCGGAACGCCGAAGGAGAAAUCAGGCAGCUGGGCUUGUCUUGACGCUGAGGUACGAAAGCGUGGGGAGCGAACGGGAUUAGAUACCCCGGUAGUCCACGCCGUANACGAUGUGCACUAGAUCGAGGGGGUUCUGACACCGCUCUCGGUCGAAGCGAAAGUGUUAAGUGCACCGCCUGGGGGAGUACGGUCGCAAGGCUAAAACUCAAAGGAAUUGACGGGGGCUCACACAAG